Molecule: ribosomal RNA, 253 nt
Filed under: uncultured bacterium
Lineage: Bacteria
Description: partial 16S ribosomal RNA
Rfam family: Bacterial small subunit ribosomal RNA
Source: RNAcentral
UACGUAGGGGGCAAGCGUUGUCCGGAAUCAUUGGGCGUAAAGCGCACGUAGGCGGAUUGCUAAGUCAGGGGUGAAAUCCUGGAGCUCAACUCCAGAACUGCCUUUGAUACUGGCGGCCUUGAGUCCGGGAGAGGUGAGUGGAACUGCGAGUGUAGAGGUGAAAUUCGUAGAUAUUCGCAAGAACACCAGUGGCGAAGGCGGCUCACUGGCCCGGUACUGACGCUGAGGUGCGAAAGCGUGGGGAGCAAACGGG